Molecule: ribosomal RNA, 404 nt
Filed under: uncultured bacterium
Lineage: Bacteria
Description: bacterial SSU rRNA
Rfam family: Bacterial small subunit ribosomal RNA
Source: RNAcentral
GACGAACGCUGGCGGCGUGCCUAAUACAUGCAAGUCGAGCGAAUUUACGAGAGCUUGCUCUCGUAAAUUAGCGGCGGACGGGUGAGUAACACGUGGGCAACCUGCCUAUAAGACUGGGAUAACUUCGGGAAACCGGAGCUAAUACCGGAUAAUUCACAUCUACUCAUGUAGAUGUGCUGAAAGACGGUUUACGCUGUCACUUAUAGAUGGGCCCGCGGCGCAUUAGCUAGUUGGUGAGGUAACGGCUCACCAAGGCCACGAUGCGUAGCCGACCUGAGAGGGUGAUCGGCCACACUGGGACUGAGACACGGCCCAGACUCCUACGGGAGGCAGCAGUAGGGAAUCUUCCGCAAUGGACGAAAGUCUGACGGAGCAACGCCGCGUGAGUGAUGAAGGUUUUCGGA